RNAcentral lists this ribosomal RNA (442 nucleotides) under uncultured bacterium. RNAcentral describes it as "partial 16S ribosomal RNA". It matches the Rfam family "Bacterial small subunit ribosomal RNA", at positions 338 to 795 of the family's 1533-position model. The record is from RNAcentral.
CCUACGGGAGGCAGCAGUGGGGAAUAUUGGGCAAUGGGCGCAAGCCUGAUCCAGCAACGCCGCGUGAAGGAAGAAGGCUUUCGGGUUGUAAACUUCUUUUAAGGGGGAAGAGCAGAAGACGGUACCCCUUGAAUAAGCCACGGCUAACUACGUGCCAGCAGCCGCGGUAAUACGUAGGUGGCAAGCGUUGUCCGGAUUUACUGGGUGUAAAGGGCGUGCAGCUGGAGAGACAAGUCAGAUGUGAAAUCCACGGGCUCAACCCGUGAACUGCAUUUGAAACUGUUUCCCUUGAGUGUCGGAGAGGUAAUCGGAAUUCCUUGUGUAGCGGUGAAAUGCGUAGAUAUAAGGAAGAACACCAGUGGCGAAGGCGGAUUACUGGACGAUAACUGACGGUGAGGCGCGAAAGCGUGGGGAGCAAACAGGAUUAGAUACCCCUGUAGUC